This is a non-coding RNA of Durio zibethinus, 1090 nucleotides long. Lineage: Eukaryota; Viridiplantae; Streptophyta; Magnoliopsida; Malvales; Malvaceae. The record is from RefSeq and is a predicted model, not a curated record.
AUCAGGUUAGACUUAUCUUAGAAAUUAAAAAAAAAAAAGAAAAGAAAAUAGAACAAAGUAAACAAAAUAGUUUUAGCCAAAACUGGUGAAGAUAAACAAAACCCCGAUGGCGGUGCCGGAGUGACAAAAGCCUGCAAACUGAAACGUUCUAGAGCCAUACUCUGAGAGAAAAAAAAAAGAGAGGCGCGUGCAGUGGCGAGGGCUUCUGUUGGAGGAGUGGAGUGGCUCGUUAGGCCACCGAAUCCCAAAAACCUAAUCGUCUUUUUCGAUUUAACAGUCGGUUCCAUCCCUGCCGGUCGUAUCAAAAUGGAACUCUUCGCUGAUAUUGCUCCUAAAACAGCCGAAAAUUUCGGGUCCUGAAAGCAGGGCUGCCUGUUGGUUGCAAGGGUUGUCAAUUUCAUAGGGUUAUUGAAGAUUUUAUGAUUCAAGCUGGAGAUUUUGACAAGUUGGCACACAGUGGACCAACACCAAUAGGUGUCAGCAUGAAUAAUAAUCAAGUAUCCUCAAAUUAAAAGGACACAAGGUGGUAGAAUGUUGCUAUUUGUACCAAAUCUAUGCUAGAGGUAUUCUCUGGCUGCAGACUCCCAGCUAGGUGAAUUGAGAUUUGAUGGAAGCGCGGUUAUUGCAAAUGCUUCUAGCACAUCUCGUGUUUUCACUUGGAUAAGAUUUCUGAAAUAUCUUGUUUUUUAUCAAAUGUGAGUGGCUUGAUGAUAAGCACGUUGUAUUUGGGAGGGUGCUUGGAGAUAGUCUUCUUGUUGUUCGAAAGAUAGAGAAUGUGGCUACUGGACCCAACAACAUGCCAAAACUACCAUGCAUUAUAGCUGAGUUUGGAGAAAUGUAAAACUUGAUAUCAUUAACACAUAUACAGAAGACUAACCAGAAAUGUUGCUGUAACCAUUUUAGAUUUAAUUUCCUCUAGAUCUGUUGAAAUUCAUACAGGGUUUUUCCCCUUUGGCUCAAAAUACUUGAUUAUCAAGAUGUUAGCAUUGCAAUGUUGACAAUGUUCACUCUAUAAUGCUAAAUGCUUGAUUGGAACGAGAUCAUUAAAUAGGAAAUGCAGAUGGUUGAAAGAACUAAAUUGGGCCACUGA